ACGCUGGCGGCGUGCCUAAUACAUGCAAGUAGAACGCUGAAGGAGGAGCUUGCUUCUCUGGAUGAGUUGCGAACGGGUGAGUAACGCGUAGGUAACCUGCCUGGUAGCGGGGGAUAACUAUUGGAAACGAUAGCUAAUACCGCAUAACAGUAGAUGUUGCAUGACAUUUGCUUAAAAGGUGCAAUUGCAUCACUACCAGAUGGACCUGCGUUGUAUUAGCUAGUUGGUGGGGUAACGGCUCACCAAGGCGACGAUACAUAGCCUACCUGAGAGGGUGAUCGGCCACACUGGGACUGAGACACGGCCCAGACUCCUACGGGAGGCAGCAGUAGGGAAUCUUCGGCAAUGGACGGAAGUCUGACCGAGCAACGCCGCGUGAGUGAAGAAGGUUUUCGGAUCGUAAAGCUCUGUUGUAAGAGAAGAACAGGUGUGAGAGUGGAAAGUUCACACUGUGACGGUAUCUUACCAGAAAGGGACGGCUAACUACGUGCCAGCAGCCGCGGUAAUACGUAGGUCCCGAGCGUUGUCCGGAUUUAUUGGGCGUAAAGCGAGCGCAGGCGGUUAGAUAAGUCUGAAGUUAAAGGCUGUGGCUUAACCAUAGUACGCUUUGGAAACUGUUUAACUUGAGUGCAAGAGGGGAGAGUGGAAUUCCAUGUGUAGCGGUGAAAUGCGUAGAUAUAUGGAGGAACACCGGUGGCGAAAGCGGCUCUCUGGCUUGUAACUGACGCUGAGGCUCGAAAGCGUGGGGAGCAAACAGGAUUAGAUACCCCUGGUAGUCCACGCCGUAAACGAUGAGUGCUAGGUGUUAGACCCUUUCCGGGGUUUAGUGCCGCAGCUAACGCAUUAAGCACUCCGCCUGGGGAGUACGACCGCAAGGUUGAAACUCAAAGGAAUUGAC
Molecule: ribosomal RNA, 898 nt
Filed under: uncultured bacterium
Lineage: Bacteria
Description: bacterial SSU rRNA
Rfam family: Bacterial small subunit ribosomal RNA
Source: RNAcentral